Non-coding RNA from Caenorhabditis elegans, 68 nucleotides. The record is from Ensembl. Lineage: Eukaryota; Metazoa; Nematoda; Chromadorea; Rhabditida; Rhabditidae.
AAAAAGUGAUGGUUGCACACAACAACAUACAUACUAACACUUGUGUGUACGUGUCAAGCAGGGUCUAU